AUGAGUGCAAUUUGCCGGCUUGGGGUCAAACAUACCUUGCAAAAAGUGCUUGCUGGAAACGUUGGUUGCAGAACAUUUGCCAGAAUGGUCGAUGCCAAGCUCGAUGCGGUGCCGGUCGUUGAUAUCGACGAAGGAAUUUUCAAGUACGUGCUGAUCAAGGUUUACGGAAAGGAAAAAAGCGAUGGCAGCGAACCAUCCAAGCUGAUCGUCCGUGGAUUCAACAGGGCUCAGUGGCAUUCGGACAUUUACGACGAGGUUAGUUCGGCCUUGUUGGGCCUUGGGCUGGAGACGGAAUGUCUCGGUGGUGGAAGGAUUGAGAAUAGGCCGGACCUGAAGCAGAUCAAAGUGUACGGAUACUCGCAGGGAUACGGCAAGGCGGAUCAUAUGGAAUCGCGACGUUUGCUGCUGACCAAAUACCCGGACCAUAACAUUACAUGCUCGGACGAAGGUUACUGAGCGUAGGAUGGAACAAUCAUGUUUCCGUUACUUUCCGGGACAGACGCACAGCAUCCGCCAUUGUUUUAGGGCUCGACUAGCAAUAGUUUUAUCAUUUCCCUGCCGUUCACUUCAUGA
This is an RNA transcript of Anopheles moucheti, 573 nucleotides long. It is a transcript of the gene named sex-regulated protein janus-A-like, with no coding region annotated. The transcript is spliced from 4 exons. NCBI's taxonomy places the organism in Eukaryota, Metazoa, Arthropoda, Insecta, Diptera, Culicidae. The record is from RefSeq and is a predicted model, not a curated record.